AUGCUAACAAAGCCCCUGAAGUAUCUUGAGCUGCUUUCAAUUAAUUCUAUUUUUAUUCAUUUUUAGGGUUCUACAGUCUCAAGGGAAGCCAGCGACAAGGAAAAGGCAAAAGAACUCCCCACUUUUAAAGACAACGACUUCCUGAAUGAAGGCCAGAAACUACAGAUAGGAGAUGAAAACAAGAAAUACUUUUUGGAGAAGCUAAAACGGGACGUAGAGAUAGGUCCUUUGCCGAACUUCCUAAACUGUCAUUAUGGGCUAAAAGUACUGAUGGUGGUGCUACAGCAACUCCCUACUACUUUGAAGAUUCAUAUCAAAUUUGCUGCCAAACAAAAACA
Long non-coding RNA from Micropterus dolomieu (smallmouth bass), 338 nucleotides. RefSeq lists it as uncharacterized. The transcript is spliced from 3 exons. The record is from RefSeq and is a predicted model, not a curated record. Lineage: Eukaryota; Metazoa; Chordata; Actinopteri; Centrarchiformes; Centrarchidae.